Molecule: ribosomal RNA, 229 nt
Filed under: uncultured bacterium
Lineage: Bacteria
Description: partial 16S ribosomal RNA
Rfam family: Bacterial small subunit ribosomal RNA
Source: RNAcentral
UGCGUAGGCGGGGCAAUUAGUCAGUGGUGAAAUCCUGCGGCUUAACCGUAGAACUGCCAUUGAUACUGUUGUCCUUGAGUAUAGUUGAGGUGGGCGGAAUGUGUAAUGUAGCGGUGAAAUGCAUAGAGAUUACACAGGACACCAAUUGCGAAGGCAGCUCACUAAGCUAUAACUGACGCUGAGGCACGAAAGCGUGGGGAGCGAACAGGAUUAGAUACCCUGGUAGUCC